GUGCAGGCGCUGAUCAGCUCAGGUGGCUUGCAAGACGGGGAUGGAGACGAGCCAGGCAGCCGAGGAAAGCUCUUCACACGUGUCCAGCUGCCUUUCCACGGCUUCUGCAGCUCAAGAUGCUGCUGCGGCUGCUGGCUGGCUCCUGCCUCCGCCGCCGCUGUAAUGUAUCCCCUCUGCUGCUUGUGCCCUUUUCGAGCUGCCAGGCUGCAUCUCCCCCUCUCUCUCGUCAGUUUUCCCCAUCCCAGCUUCACGUUCAAGGUUUAACAGCGAGGUCACGUCCAUUGACGUCAGCUCGAGUCUUACUGUACGUCCGGCUGCAUUUACAUACAUCAAGGAAAUUAGGGCAUUAAAAAUAUGCAAAUCCUGCUGCUUGAAGAAGAGACUGUAGAUUCCCGGAGCGAUCGUCCCUGUUAUUGAAGAUUGUAAUUAAAGGAACAGAAACAAACCAACCCUCCCCCUCCCCCCCGCAUCCCCCCCAAAAAACAACAACAACCAAAAACCCCGAAUGACAAAUAUCUGUUAGGCACUGAGAAGAGAUUUCUGCUGCUCCGGUUCUGUGGCUGACUGAGGACGGCCGGCCUGCAGCACUGCACGGAGAAGAGAACAGGUUAGAGGAGGCUGCUCCAGACGUCUCUCUAUGCAUAAUCAGGGCUUCGCCGCUGCGCCAUUCUCCUCUCCUCCUCCUGCUGCUGCUGCUCCUGUUGGUUCCAGCGUGUAUUAUUUUUAAUACUGAUGCAUAUGUAAAGACGAGCAAAUUCCUAGCACCUUUUCUUAACCGAGGCUGGGAGCACCACUAAAUCUGUGUGCUGGCCAGCAGCCUCAGAGAGACAGAGGAGGGGAGUGAAAACGCCAGUGAUCCUGCACAGGGAGAAGAGAUUUCACAGCAACUUAGCAAGCAAACAAGACAAAAAGUUAAAGAGUGAUGGCACUAUACCUUGCCCCCGGUCACUCAGACGUGCGCUUCCCAUUUUGUACAUGAUGAAGAGUUUUGGAAACUACGUCUGAGUCCAAUGGAUUGUUUGGUUUGUGGAAUCAAAGUCCACCUAAGAGUGGCACAAGCCACUGGAUAUCCCUGAAUGCUGGAUUUUGUACCUGGAUCACUGAUUUAGCCCAAAACCGUGUAAAAACUCACUAUUGUGUACUAUUGUGUAAUCUAUACAACUGAGCAGACUCAUGUAUCUUGUUUAUUUAAGCAGGGGAAUGAUUAAAUUUGCUCUAGAUGCACUAAUUUCAGACAAAAGCAUAUACCAGUGUAUAAGACUAAAAGUUCCCAAAUUUAAUCAAAUCACAACCCCUCUUCAAAAUCUUCCAUUACAAAUGUAUUAGCCUUUUAGCAGACAGACGUUUCCUGGCACAGCUAUGGUUCUGAGCGGAUGCUGCUGCUAAAACGUUGCUAAAAUAACCCCAAACCAGUGGUGCUCCCGCUUGUUUGCUAUGCACCAGAGAUCAGAAUUGAGUUCUCAGUGUUGCGACAUCAUUGAAAAACUCAAACAAGGGGGAGAUCUUAAAGGAGGAGGCUAUUCUCUGUGCACAGAUAUUUUGGUAACUAGUAAUAAUCAGUAAAUAAUAAUAAAAUCUAUGAAAUAGCUUAACGCAACAUACUUAGGCUUAAUUAAAUAACCCGUCUGUCUGUUUAACCCAGGAUUUUCCGAUUUUUUUCCCUUAUGGACCUCAUUUUAUAAGAGACAUUGUCUUGUGGAUCAACUCCUUUCCUAAUUUCAAUUGUUCAGAUCCCCUCCCCUCCCAUUCAUGACUGGGGCAACUAUCAUUUCUUAAAGGGGGAAGUCAUAUUAGGAAAAUAUCGAAGGUCGUUUUCACCAUCUUUUCAUGCCAUUUGGCAGAUGGAAAGGAGAAGGAGAGUUCCAUCUCAUUACCAGCCAGCUCUCUGCAGAACACCAGUAAAUUGUUCUAUGGAUCAGGAUAAGAGUUGCUGGUCUAAUUUCCAAAUAUAUGGUUUCUGUAGCACACGUAGUAUCUUAGAACUUUCUUGUGCCUCCAGUUUCUAAACAGGACUCCCCAUCACAGACAAUGGGGAGUUGUGAUUAAAAUUCGAUGGCAGGUUAUAGCCCAUACUGUUUACAAAUUGCUUCUCUGGAAUGGGGUUCUUUAACCACAAGAAGUUCAGAGGUGAAUUGAUUGACACGCACACAAGCAGGAGCCCUCUAUUUCUGCUUCCUAUUAGCCUGCACAGUUAUGGGAGAUCUUCCCCCACAUCUCUGCCCUGCCCUCUAUUUUUAUCAAAAAAGAAAAACUAAUUCCAUCCGAGACCGGAACUCAGAAUAUAUUAAUGAAUGGAGAUUAUCUAUACAACAGGAAACAGACGUCUGUCAAUUAUAGAGCUCUCCUCUGGUUUCUCCCCAGAUUGUACCAAUCUUUUCCCUUUUACAAGACUACAUUGCCACUGAAAGUAAACUUCGAGUUUGUGGCAUUAGCAGAAAACUGCAAAGCCCUCUUUAGCCCUAGCCUGAUUAUAAACUGCCCCUAAUUCAAAGUCAGCUUGUCUUAAUUUUACACUGGUAAAAUACACAAAUCCUCAAUCUGAAUCCACCGUUGUUUCUUGCUAUCAUUGUUUGCCCUGUUGGAGGAGUUGGUCCCAGGGUAAUAGAGAGACAAGGUGCGGGAUGUGGUAUCUUUUAUUGGCCCAGCUUGUGUUGACUAGAGAGACAAGCUUUCCAGCUAUAUAGAGCUCUUCUUCAGGUCUGGGAAAGGUACUCAUCCCUCCUGCACUUCUCCUUUUCCCUCCUCCUGGCACUGUUGGGUCUGGAGCUGGAUGGAGGGUUUUAGUUUGUUCAUUUGUUUGUUUUUCAGAAAAAUUUAACAAACAUGAUUUUGUUUGUUCAUUUUCAUCGUUUUCAGCAGGAAAAGUUGCCUUUUAAUUGAAAAUCUGAAAACCAUUUUUUUCUGGCUUUCAGCAACUGAAAACCGUUUUUUGUCAGACAUCCCUCCAACCUUCCUCCCCAAAUCCAGCCCGAGAUGAUGGGCGGUUUCAUCUGAACAUUUUGGGGUUUUGUUUCUCUCUCUCUCUCUGGGAAAGCAGACACUUUCCAUAAACACCUUUGUUUAGUUAAAAACCCAUUUAAAAUUUUUUUUGAAGGAGAAUUUUUGACUGGCCUUAUUUGCCUCUCCAUCCACUCAACUUGGAGUGGGCUUUUCUCAUUCUCCCCCUUCUCCUCUUUAAGAUCCCUUUUCUGCAGAAUCUAAGCUUUCGUUUUUUUAAAAGUAUGUUUCUAACCCUCCUGUUGGCGAAGUUAAUAUUCCAAAUGCCAAAGGGAGAUACUGAUGCAGUGUUGUCUUCCAGAAUCUGCAGUCAGCCUCACAAAGUGACUGAGCAGUGUGAACUCCCCUCUUCCAUUCAUCUCUGUUUUUACUUGUCAGCACUCAUUAUUUCAUUGCCGAUCAUUUUAUCAGCUGGAAUAGGAGAAAGGAACGAAGCACACAGAGUGAACUGGGACUUGGGGCAGGGAAAGAAACAGAGUGGAAAGAAAAGAGGAGAGACACAGAGAUGGGGAAUGGGAAGAGAAAGAAGGGCCACAAUAAUGGUGGUUCUAAAGAUGAAAAUAUUUCCCACUGAACUAGUGUAAUAGGAUCAUCUGCCUCCAGAUUACCCUCUUGUGACCAAGGGUGCCUCCGCCAUGCCAUGCCAUGCCUCUGUUUUGCCCUUCUUCAGGGCUUCUUAAACAAACUCCAGUCUUUCUUAUCCACUCACAGCCCUUCUUGGGGUCUGGUUUUAUUAACACAAAGUUCCAAACACAAACACAUUCCUACCUCGUCUCAAGCUGACACAGCCCCUCCUCACUGAACUACUGUGCACUCCUGCUCUCUAAGCAGCUACAGAAGAUGCAAGGGCUGGCCUACCUUUUCCCAAAGGAAAAACAAACCUUUUAGCUGGGUCUUCUUACCCAUCCGCAGCUCCCUUCCUCAGGGACCACUGCCGCAGACCCUCCGUCCCUACAGCUUCACUCUGUACUUCCCUUUCUAGCUCUGUCUCACCGAGCCACCCUCUCAUCCUUCAUAGCCCAGGAACAGCUCCAUACAUGCCCCCCCCCCCCUUAAUUGGCUCAUCUGAGAGCACCUGCUCUGGCACAGCAGCUCUUUAACAUGGGCUGCGUACAGGCUGGUACCAGCUUCUUACUGGUAUGCCGUACCGGCCCGUACCGCCCCACUUUCACCCCUGAUUGUAACUCCUAUGCUGGACAAUGACUGGUGAUGUCUGUUCAGCACCCACCUGGGUGUUGGUUACCACUUCCCUUGUCAUAGUCUCUGAAGAGCUAGUAUCUAGGCGCUUCCCAAACCCACAGCAUAUUUUAGUGAAAACCAUACACCACCAUUCUUAUAAUUUUAUAUGCAUUAAUUACACACAUAUUUACAUGGAAUGAUGGGUUUCAGCAGAUUGUAACCUUUCCUCUGAUACCUCACAUGGCAUGCUUUAUAUCCAAUAUCACAUUUAUAUGUAAAUGAGGAAUAUGGGGCUUACAGGGUGCUCCACUAAGGUACAAUGUCAGAAACUCCCCUACUACUGUGUAUCAGUGCAAUACUGUAAUUGUCAUGUGCAUAAUUAUAUCAGCAUCGUAACAGCUUCACAUUCUGACCUGGAGCUGAUGUAGUAGGGUCAAUGCCCCUUCUGAGUGCUGUGUGACCUACUGGUUUAUGGCUUGAUCCUAUCUCAUUAAGGUCAAUGACAAGACUUCCAUUGAUUUCACUAGGAGCAGGACUGGGCCUUUAGCUCUUCCUGCAAACCCCUUAUAGAUAGAAAAUAUAGAAUAGGUCAUCAUGAUUUUAAGGAGUUGUUACACAAACAUUAUAAACAUUUACUACAUUUUAAAAUUAUUUAGACAUACAUAUAGAAAUCGAUGUGAUUUCCUUAUUUUACAAAGUAGGGAGUUUGAAAUGAUAGCAGGAUUUACUCUUCAAGAGCAAUAUCCAAUAUGGGAGUGGAACUCUUUCUAUGGACUGACUGGCAACAAGUAUUAAAAGUAUUCCAAAUAUUAAAAAAUAUUAAUUGAUUUUUUUCUGCUGGCAUUUAUUGCAGUGGAACACAUCGGUGUUGGUAAUAAAGGUGUGACACACAGGAGUGCUGGUAAGAAACUGAAUUCUAUUUCCUGGUCGCUGGCACCUGACAUGGAUCAGGGUUACAAACAUUUAUUACCACUGCUGUGUGACAGGAAUCAGUAUACAGUGACUUCAGUGGUUGCUGAUACUGUUACAUUGGACAGGACAAAGAUUUUGUGGGCAAGGUGAUCUGGCUAUGAAGACAGUUUCAGUAGAGUGGAGCAGGGCAGAUGUAAACUUAAGUAGCGGAGUCCAGAUGGGAGCGGGGUGAGAGGAAGAUGAGACAACAGCAGUAGAUGGCACACUCAAGAAGCAGGAUAUUUAAUACAAGAGAAUAAAAGUACAGUGAAGGGUGCAAGUGUUCAGCUGUUUAUUAGGAGAACAAAGUCUGCAUCACCUCUGACUUUGAGACAAGCUGUGAGCAACUGGCAGAGAAAGCUGUUACAGAAUGCCAAAUAUAAUGUGCUAUGAUAACCUUACAGUGACAGGAGCAAACGUGAGAAUCAAUGUUUGGACAAUUUAUGGGUUUUUUCAAAACUGGAUACAAUAUGGUGGAAAGCGGUAAAAAGCUGCCUUUACCACAAAUACAAUAUGAUGAUAGAAAGAAUAUUUCAUAUGUGGAUGUCAGCAGUCUUAAUCUGAGAGCCCAACCACCAAGUACCAUCUGAGAAAUACAGAAAUGCCCGAAAGUAUACCAAAAGGGGAUGGGAGCCAAUCAACAAGACUUCCAUCUUUUGGCAGUUUUAUCAAAUAAAUGUACAAACAAAUCAAGAUAUAAUAUGAGAGCUGUAGAAAUGAUUGUGCAAAAUGGUCAGUAAUUCUUACAGUCCAGGAAAAAUGUAUAUCACACCCAUCUCAGAAUGAUAAUUUCAUUUUUGCUGCUGAACAGUUCAAGCCCUACACCGAGAUCAAUACCUCUCCAUCAUAGUUGGUACUAAUUGACAGGGCUGGUCUCAGUUGCAGCAAAUGAAAAGGUCAGUCAUGAACACAGAUUCCAGCCCACUCCAUCCUUAGAGACAAUCCCUCCAGCUCAGGGUUGUAUUCCACCUGUGGUGGGGAAAGCUUGCAGUCCCACUGCCAAUGCUAUAUUUGUUCGGUAGAUAAAUUAAGAACUUUUGUUCGCCAAGGCUGUCGAACUAAUACUUUUCAUUAACACUAAAUUCACUUUUCAAAAUGUAGGGCAAUCUACAGGGACAAUGUGUUUGGAAGAAAAGAAAAUGUUUGAAUAUAGGGACUGGUGUCUGUCUAAAUAAGUACUUCUUUGUUUAAAACAAAUAAAUAGCAAAACCACCCUAUAUAACUGCUUCAGUUUUGUCUGUCUAACUUAGGGUGCUGUACUGCCGUCCAUUACUGUAGUAUGUGAGCAUCUUCCAUGUAAAACCAAAAGUAAUAGUGAAAUCCCUCGUGGAGUCUCUGGUAUUCUCCCCUUUUGGUGGUAAAAAAUCUGCAUGAAGUCAGUUUUGUUUUGUUUUGUGUGUUGUUGAUUUUUUAAAGAUUUAUUUGUUUCAAAUCUUUUCUGGUUGGUUUUUGGGUUGA
Long non-coding RNA from Chelonia mydas (Green sea turtle), 6585 nucleotides. RefSeq lists it as uncharacterized. The transcript has 3 exons. Lineage: Eukaryota; Metazoa; Chordata; Testudines; Cheloniidae. The record is from RefSeq and is a predicted model, not a curated record.